RNAcentral lists this microRNA precursor (101 nucleotides) under Beta vulgaris subsp. vulgaris (sugar beet). RNAcentral describes it as "pre miRNA MIR403". Lineage: Eukaryota; Viridiplantae; Streptophyta; Magnoliopsida; Caryophyllales; Amaranthaceae. The record is from RNAcentral.
UAUUGCUGCGGUUUUGGGCCAAAAACCGCAGCAAUAUUCCUUUUAUUAUAUUUUAAUUGAUAAUAUUGCUGCAGUUUCUGGCCCAAAACCGCAACAAUAUU